RNAcentral lists this unclassified non-coding RNA (786 nucleotides) under Hevea brasiliensis (rubber tree). Lineage: Eukaryota; Viridiplantae; Streptophyta; Magnoliopsida; Malpighiales; Euphorbiaceae. The record is from RNAcentral.
GUUGCCGUACUCUUCCUCUCCCCCAGAUAUCUUCUUUGCAGGAGCGAUCCGGGAGUCAAUUUUGCUAUCAUGUUGGUUUACACCGACCUUCUCUCUGGUGAUGAGCUUCUCUCGGAUUCGUUUCCAUACAAGGAAAUCGAGAAUGGAAUGAUUUGGGAAGUCGAUGGAAAGUGGGUCGUUCAAGGAGCGAUUGAUGUGGAUAUUGGUGCUAAUCCUUCUGCUGAAGGUGCCGGUGAGGACGAAGGUGUUGAUGAUCAGGCUGUGAAGGUGGUCGACAUUGUUGACACUUUCCGGCUUCAGGAGCAACCUCCUUUGGACAAGAAGUUGUUCAUUGCAUACAUUAAGAAGUAUAUCAAAUUACUGACACCUAAGCUGGAAGGGGAGAAACAAGAGGCAUUUAAGAAGAACAUUGAGGGAGCAACUAAGUAUCUGCUUGCAAAGCUCAAGGACUUGCAAUUCUUCGUUGGGGAGAGUAUGGCUGACGAUUGCUCUAUCGUAUUUGCAUACUACAAGGAAGGAGCUACUGAACCAACAUUUUUAUACCUUGCCCCAGGUUUGAAGGAAGUCAAGUGCUGAAAGAACAAAACUUUGAAGCAGAAUGCUUCAUGUAGCAUUAUUAGUUUCUACUAUAUUUGCCUUUUUCUCAUGACAUUUGAAUUUGGAUGGUUUGGGCUGUUUUUGUUUUGGUUUAUUUUGGGUUUCCUUGUUUUGACCUUGUUUACUGGGAGAUGUUCUGGUGAGUGCAAAAGUUUACUCUAUUUUUAUGCCUAAUGAAUCUCUAUUUUU